UGGCUCAGAUUGAACGCUGGCGGCAGGCCUAACACAUGCAAGUCGAACGGUAACAGGAAGCAGCUUGCUGCUUCGCUGACGAGUGGCGGACGGGUGAGUAAUGUCUGGGAAACUGCCUGAUGGAGGGGGAUAACUACUGGAAACGGUGGCUAAUACCGCAUAACGUCGCAAGACCAAAGAGGGGGACCUUCGGGCCUCUUGCCAUCAGAUGUGCCCAGAUGGGAUUAGCUUGUUGGUGAGGUAACGGCUCACCAAGGCGACGAUCCCUAGCUGGUCUGAGAGGAUGACCAGCCACACUGGAACUGAGACACGGUCCAGACUCCUACGGGAGGCAGCAGUGGGGAAUAUUGCACAAUGGGCGCAAGCCUGAUGCAGCCAUGCCGCGUGUAUGAAGAAGGCCUUCGGGUUGUAAAGUACUUUCAGCGGGGAGGAAGGUGUUGUGGUUAAUAACCGCAGCAAUUGACGUUACCCGCAGAAGAAGCACCGGCUAACUCCGUGCCAGCAGCCGCGGUAAUACGGAGGGUGCAAGCGUUAAUCGGAAUUACUGGGCGUAAAGCGCACGCAGGCGGUCUGUCAAGUCGGAUGUGAAAUCCCCGGGCUCAACCUGGGAACUGCAUUCGAAACUGGCAGGCUUGAGUCUUGUAGAGGGGGGUAGAAUUCCAGGUGUAGCGGUGAAAUGCGUAGAGAUCUGGAGGAAUACCGGUGGCGAAGGCGGCCCCCUGGACAAAGACUGACGCUCAGGUGCGAAAGCGUGGGGAGCAAACAGGAUUAGAUACCCUGGUAGUCCACGCCGUAAACGAUGUCUACUUGGAGGUUGUGCCCUUGAGGCGUGGCUUCCGGAGCUAACGCGUUAAGUAGACCGCCUGGGGAGUACGGCCGCAAGGUUAAAACUCAAAUGAAUUGACGGGGGCCCGCACAAGCGGUGGAGCAUGUGGUUUAAUUCGAUGCAACGCGAAGAACCUUACCUGGUCUUGACAUCCACAGAAUUCUGCAGAGAUGCGGAAGUGCCUUCGGGAACUGUGAGACAGGUGCUGCAUGGCUGUCGUCAGCUCGUGUUGUGAAAUGUUGGGUUAAGUCCCGCAACGAGCGCAAC
RNAcentral lists this ribosomal RNA (1093 nucleotides) under Salmonella enterica. RNAcentral describes it as "partial 16S ribosomal RNA". It matches the Rfam family "Bacterial small subunit ribosomal RNA", at positions 20 to 1102 of the family's 1533-position model. The record is from RNAcentral. Lineage: Bacteria; Pseudomonadati; Pseudomonadota; Gammaproteobacteria; Enterobacterales; Enterobacteriaceae. RNAcentral also lists the same sequence under 1 other name.